Molecule: ribosomal RNA, 913 nt
Filed under: Septoriella hirta
Lineage: Eukaryota; Fungi; Ascomycota; Dothideomycetes; Pleosporales; Phaeosphaeriaceae
Description: LSU rRNA
Rfam family: Eukaryotic large subunit ribosomal RNA
Source: RNAcentral
GCAUAUCAAUAAGCGGAAGGAAAAAGAAACCAACAGGGAUUGCCCCUAGUAACGGCGAGUGAAGCGGCAACAGCUCAAAUUUGAAAUCUGGCUCUUUUAGAGUCCGAGUUGUAAUUUGCAGAGGGCGCUUUGGCGUUGGCAGCGGUCCAAGUUCUUUGGAACAGGACGUCACAGAGGGUGAGAAUCCCGUACGUGGUCGCUAGCCUUCGCCGUGUAAAGCCCCUUCGACGAGUCGAGUUGUUUGGGAAUGCAGCUCUAAAUGGGAGGUAAAUUUCUUCUAAAGCUAAAUACUGGCCAGAGACCGAUAGCGCACAAGUAGAGUGAUCGAAAGAUGAAAAGCACUUUGGAAAGAGAGUCAAAUAGCACGUGAAAUUGUUGAAAGGGAAGCGCUUGCAGCCAGACUUGCCUGUAGUUGCUUAUCCGGACUUUUGUCCGGUGCACUCUUCUGCGGGCAGGCCAGCAUCAGUUUAGGCGGUUGGAUAAAGGUCUCUAUCACGUACCUCCCUUCGGGGUUGGCCUUAUAGGGGAGACGACAUGCAACCAGCUUGAACUGAGGUCCGCGCAUCUGCUAGGAUGCUGGCGUAAUGGCUGUAAGCGGCCCGUCUUGAAACACGGACCAAGGAGUCUAACAUCUAUGCGAGUGUUUGGGUGUCAAGCCCAGACGCGUAAUGAAAGUGAACGGAGGUGGGAACCUUUUAGGUGCACCAUCGACCGAUCCUGAUGUCUUCGGAUGGAUUUGAGUAAGAGCAUGGCUGUUGGGACCCGAAAGAUGGUGAACUAUGCUUGAAUAGGGUGAAGCCAGAGGAAACUCUGGUGGAGGCUCGCAGCGGUUUCUGACGUGCAAAUCGAUCGUCAAAUUUGGGCAUAGGGGCGAAAGACUAAUCGAAACUAUCUAGUAGCUGGUUCUGCGGAG